Notolabrus celidotus (New Zealand spotty) is the source of this 824-nucleotide long non-coding RNA. RefSeq lists it as uncharacterized. The transcript is spliced from 4 exons. NCBI's taxonomy places the organism in Eukaryota, Metazoa, Chordata, Actinopteri, Labriformes, Labridae. The record is from RefSeq and is a predicted model, not a curated record.
CCAAUACUGGCUGCAUAAGGGAUACAGAUCAGGAAUCCUUUCCACACCUUCAGCUGAUACUGGGCCUCUGAUUGGCUGUCUGCAGCUGUCAUCUGGUGCCUGCAGUUGCUCAAAGGUCAAACAGAGAGAGGGUCUCCAGGUCUCCAAACAGACUCUCCAGGAUGGCGUUGGCGAUAGGGAGCAUCAUGGCUGUUGUGGCGGUGUUACUGAGCCACAUGGACAAGAAGGCUGAGUUUCCUCACCAGGCUGGUUUCACUCCAACAAUAGUAAGGACCUUCAGAGCUAUUCUGCGGUGAAGCCCCCACUCCUCGAUGGAUGAGGCCAUCACCAAACCGCUGAGGAAGAGAAAGUUUGUUUCGAGGAAGUACUGAGGGCAGACUUUCUUGGAUGGAAGGAUUCCCAGUGUUGGGAAGAGGCAGACUGGAAGCAUGGCGGUGACGGCCAGAGGGAGGGCCUCUGUGCACCAAAACAUAGCCAUCAGCACCACCACAUAAAGACAUUUUCCCUCCUAAAAGAUAAGCAACAUGGGGUUGUUAAUCAUCAGGCAAUAUCAAAAGAGUGAAAUAAAGUGUCACAGAAAUGAAACAAAUACAAAUUACACACAUAAUAUGUUUUUUCUUUACAAGUAAGCAGUUAUACAAUUUGCUCUCAGGAACAUCAGUGAUGCAAGGUUAGUUUUCAAAAAAUAAAAUCAGUGUGUGUGAGUGGAGUGAAAAAGCAAACAGGUGCAACAUGCAAAAGAUAUUUCCUAAAGCUAAUAAAAUUAUAAUUUAUGAUAUCACAGUUUCCAGUCUUAAAAGCCUCCGGUUGUCAACAUUUGGAUG